This 253-nucleotide ribosomal RNA is filed under the name uncultured bacterium. RNAcentral's name for it is "partial 16S ribosomal RNA". It matches the Rfam family "Bacterial small subunit ribosomal RNA", at positions 524 to 776 of the family's 1533-position model. The record is from RNAcentral.
UACAGGGGGGGCAAGCGUUGUUCGGAAUUACUGGGCGUAAAGGGCGCGUAGGCGGGCUGUCAAGUCCGGGGUGAAAUCCUCCCGCUCAACGGGAGAACGGCCUCGGAUACUGACGAUCUCGAGGGGGAUAGGGGCACGCGGAACUGUGGGUGGAGCGGUGAAAUGCGUUGAUAUCCAUAGGAACUCCGGUGGCGAAGGCGGCGUGCUGGAUCCCUUCUGACGCUGAGGCGCGAAAGCCAGGGGAGCAAACGGG